Molecule: ribosomal RNA, 273 nt
Filed under: uncultured bacterium
Lineage: Bacteria
Description: partial 16S ribosomal RNA
Rfam family: Bacterial small subunit ribosomal RNA
Source: RNAcentral
UACGAAGGGUGCAAGCGUUAAUCGGAAUUACUGGGCGUAAAGCGCGCGUAGGUGGUUCAGCAAGUUGAAGGUGAAAUCCCCGGGCUCAACCUGGGAACUGCCUCCAAAACUACUGAGCUAGAGUACGGUAGAGGGUAGUGGAAUUUCCUGUGUAGCGGUGAAAUGCGUAGAUAUAGGAAGGAACACCAGUGGCGAAGGCGACUACCUGGACUGAUACUGACACUGAGGUGCGAAAGCGUGGGGAGCAAACAGGAUUAGAAACCCCCGUAGUCC